Molecule: long non-coding RNA, 583 nt
Organism: Erigeron canadensis
Lineage: Eukaryota; Viridiplantae; Streptophyta; Magnoliopsida; Asterales; Asteraceae
Exons: 3
Source: RefSeq, a predicted model, not a curated record
AGCCGCCGCCAUCAAGAUAAGAAGUCGGAAAGCGAUCCAAAUUAGUAAUCAAAAUAAUUAUAUUGGUUGUUUCUCUUGGUGCCGUUAAUAGAUAAGAAGAAAAUCGAAAGCUCUAGAUGCAAUUAAGAAAAGAGAAAGUCUCGAUGGUUUUGUGUAGAUACUAGAGUUUUUAUUGUUAUCUCAUUGGAGUCGCCCAAGUCCAUAUCGAAACUGCCCGAGGGUUGGUUGUUCAUUACGUUAGUUUUGAAACCCGAGAAGGAAAGAGUCGGUCUCACGUGAGUAUGACGGAUAUAAGUGAGAUCCAAAGCGAGUUUCAAUUCAUUCAAGUGUCAUAGCCUCGGCUUGGUUUCGUUUAGAAGGUAUACGAGCAUUGAUGAAGCAACGAGUCGAGUUGCAUAAUUCUUUUAUCUGAGGUUAGGCAUUGAUCAGUGGUUGGUAGCUUGCUUGUGAGACGGGUAGCUAUUAUUGGAGCUUUUGGACGUUGGCUUUAGUUACCCAUAGUUGCACUAUUUAAGAGGACUUAUUUAUUAGCCCUUUUGGCUUUUAUUACGUUGACUGUCUUUAUUGAGGUUGAUUGUGGAUU